Molecule: unclassified non-coding RNA, 343 nt
Filed under: Hevea brasiliensis (rubber tree)
Lineage: Eukaryota; Viridiplantae; Streptophyta; Magnoliopsida; Malpighiales; Euphorbiaceae
Source: RNAcentral
UCGAGUCACUAUCUUCUUGAUCAGAUACAUUUUCUGAUGGCUCCUUUCCCCAUGCAUCAUCAUCAGGAUCCUUAUCCUUCUGAGAUUUAUUUCCCUUGUGCUUGACAGUUUUAGACUUAGUAUACUUUUUGGGAGGUUUGGUUGAAAUAAUUAUGCGAUGCUUCAAAUCUUCUGGAGAAGGGAACACUUCUAAACAUUCGCAUUCAGGAUAAUAGAGAAUGUCCCCAAAUGUCCCAAUAAUCAUCUGAGCUGCUUUAGCUUGAAGAUCAGGGGUAAGGUGGUCUUCAAGAGUUAUUAUGACAGGAUAUGGAGAGAAUGAAAAGGCAUGUUCUUUUAUGGAUUU